This 253-nucleotide ribosomal RNA is filed under the name uncultured bacterium. Its description in RNAcentral is "partial 16S ribosomal RNA". It matches the Rfam family "Bacterial small subunit ribosomal RNA", at positions 524 to 776 of the family's 1533-position model. The record is from RNAcentral.
UACGGGGGGGGCAAGCGUUGUUCGGAAUUACUGGGCGUAAAGGGCUCGUAGGCGGCUCGUUAAGUCGGAUGUGAAAUCCCCAGGCUCAACCUGGGAACGGCAUCCGAGACUGGGGGGCUUGAAUCCGGGAGAGGGAUGCAGAAUUCCAGGUGUAGCGGUGAAAUGCGUAGAUAUCUGGAGGAAUACCGGUGGCGAAGGCGGCAUCCUGGACCGGCAUUGACGCUGAGGAGCGAAAGCUAGGGGAGCAAACGGG